AAGAUGAGAGAAGUGCUACACCUGGUGGAGAGAGAUUGUAAGACAGAAAUAGUUGCUUUAUGCGUGCUGUACGUUACGACAUGACACGUCAAGAUGUAACAGAGGGUCCGUUUUUUCUACUUUUCUCCAAUACUAUACAGCCAUUACCAUGUCGAUCAACGCUUGAAUAGAAACCUAAUUCACACCCCCGAUUUUGAAGUCAACACAGUCGCUACAGUCCCAUUAGUUUUCUUUGUAGCCUCGUUUGAAUAUUGGGCUUACGCACAUUUGUACGGAAUGGGGUGUUUACGUUAGCUAAUUUUCCCCCAACAUCGGACACUCUCUAGAGGUUGGAGGUCUAAAUCACCUCGAGCUCAACAUUUAAAUGAACGACACCCUUCUAGCUAACUGACCACCGAUUUUUAUUGCAAUUUAUGCAAGUUAGGUUUUGAGAGUUUUCAAAAAAGUAAUAUGUAUAUACAUUUUGUGGGACUGUAUAUUGUAAAAUCCGAAUUCGCGACUGACAACACGUAAUUUAUUAAUAUCCAAUUUUUUACCUCUGAAAUAUAGCUGACGGAUUUGCUAACGUUGUUGCUAGCUUGGUUGCUAAAUGUUGAUAGAACUGCUAAGUAAGCAAAAAGGAAAGACAUUUUAAGCUUUAGAUAAUACAUAUCACGUAAACAACGUAAAGUUGUCAAGCUUUACCUUAUGAAAAUUAGAGUCCUCUGGGGCGUUUUGUGCCAUCUGCAAAAAUUAAUUUUGAACUUUGAACCAUUAACUUUUUUGACACCUAUGUUUAAUCUUACAACAGCUAACGUUACAUAGAGGCAGUAUUUAGUCAAGUGUUAUAAUGUAUGCAUCAAUAUUAAACUAACUGGGACAAUAUUCAUUACAGAUAACAUCAAAUAAAAAACGUGGGUACACUUUCAGUUAUGAAAACGUUCAUCAUCUUUCAAUUGCCUAAACUUUGAAAUGUAAAUGUUUAUACAUAUUCAGAUUGAGUUAUCUUUCUAAAAUGUGUAUAGUAUGCCAAGUUAUUUAGCUACAUGUAUUUACCACCACAGCAUGGAGAAAGUCAAGAGGAAGCAGUGGUGAGGUGGACAUGGUCCAUGCAGUGGAGGACUGCGGGGCAGGGACGGCUAUCCGCCAGGCUGCCAAGGUGCAUGGUGUACCUCGGCAGACCCGGGCGGACAAGGCUGAGCGGCAGGGUGACCCAUGGUUGUCCCAGUGGACCACCCACAUCGCUUGCACCAGAGGAUGAAAAUUCUCUGGUGCAGUACUGUAUCUACCAAAAAACAAAACAAACAUUUUCAUUCUGGUUGGAUAAUUUUCUAUUCUAUUGAAAUUUUUGUGACAAGAUAGGGAUGGAGAUCGAGAUUUUAUUAUUUCGUUUGUUUUCAUAUAAAAUGAUUUAUUUGUACAUGUCAAAAAUAUAUAUUUAUUCAACCCAUCUUCCUUUACUUUCCAAGUGCAUCUCUGCAACACAAACUCCAA
This is a long non-coding RNA of Oncorhynchus kisutch (coho salmon), 1473 nucleotides long. RefSeq lists it as uncharacterized. The transcript has 2 exons. The record is from RefSeq and is a predicted model, not a curated record. Lineage: Eukaryota; Metazoa; Chordata; Actinopteri; Salmoniformes; Salmonidae.